This 723-nucleotide ribosomal RNA is filed under the name Klebsiella pneumoniae. RNAcentral describes it as "bacterial SSU rRNA". It matches the Rfam family "Bacterial small subunit ribosomal RNA", at positions 1 to 711 of the family's 1533-position model. Lineage: Bacteria; Pseudomonadati; Pseudomonadota; Gammaproteobacteria; Enterobacterales; Enterobacteriaceae. The record is from RNAcentral.
ACUUAAAUUGAAGAGUUUGAUCAUGGCUCAGAUUGAACGCUGGCGGCAGGCCUAACACAUGCAAGUCGAGCGGUAGCACAGAGAGCUUGCUCUCGGGUGACGAGCGGCGGACGGGGGAGUAAUGUCUGGGAAACUGCCUGAUGGAGGGGGAUAACUACUGGAAACGGUAGCUAAUACCGCAUAAUGUCGCAAGACCAAAGUGGGGGACCUUCGGGCCUCAUGCCAUCAGAUGUGCCCAGAUGGGAUUAGCUUGUAGGUGGGGUAACGGCUCACCUAGGCGACGAUCCCUAGCUGGUCUGAGAGGAUGACCAGCCACACUGGAACUGAGACACGGUCCAGACUCCUACGGGAGGCAGCAGUGGGGAAUAUUGCACAAUGGGCGCAAGCCUGAUGCAGCCAUGCCGCGUGUGUGAAGAAGGCCUUCGGGUUGUAAAGCACUUUCAGCGGGGAGGAAGGCGGUGAGGUUAAUAACCUCAUCGAUUGACGUUACCCGCAGAAGAAGCACCGGCUAACUCCGUGCCAGCAGCCGCGGUAAUACGGAGGGUGCAAGCGUUAAUCGGAAUUACUGGGCGUAAAGCGCACGCAGGCGGUCUGUCAAGUCGGAUGUGAAAUCCCCGGGCUCAACCUGGGAACUGCAUUCGAAACUGGCAGGCUAGAGUCUUGUAGAGGGGGGUAGAAUUCCAGGUGUAGCGGUGAAAUGCGUAGAGAUCUGGAGGAAUACCG